AACUUAAAGGAAUUGACGGGGGCCCGCACAAGCAGCGGAGCGUGUGGUUUAAUUCGAUGAUACGCGAAGAACCUUACCUGGUCUUGACAUGCACGUGGUACUGAUUCGAAAGAUGAGGGACCCUUCGGGGAGCGUGCACAGGUGUUGCACGGCCGUCGUCAGCUCGUGCCGUGAGGUGUUGGGUUAAGUCUCGCAACGAGCGCAACCCCCGUCGCCAGUUGUAUUUUUCUGGCGAGACUGCCGGGAAAUCCCCGGAGGAAGAGGGGAUGAUGUCAGGUCAGCGUGGCCCUUACGACCAGGGCUACACACACGCUACAAUGGGUGGUACAGAGGGUCGCGAAGCCGCGAGGUGGAGCUAAUCCCACAAAGCCAUCCUCAGUUCGGAUUACAGGCUGAAACUCGCCUGCAUGAAGCCGGAGUUGCUAGUAACCGCAGGUCAGCACUACUGCGGUGAAUACGUUCCCGGGCCUU
RNAcentral lists this ribosomal RNA (471 nucleotides) under uncultured Chloroflexota bacterium. RNAcentral's name for it is "bacterial SSU rRNA". It matches the Rfam family "Bacterial small subunit ribosomal RNA", at positions 898 to 1382 of the family's 1533-position model. The record is from RNAcentral. Lineage: Bacteria; Bacillati; Chloroflexota.